AAGUCGUAACAAGGUUUCCGUAGGUGAACCUGCGGAAGGAUCAUUAUUGAAUUACCGGUUAGGGUUGUAGCUGGCCUUUCGGGGCACGUGCACGCCCGAGCCUUUAAUCCACACACACACUGUGAACCCAAUGUAAGGGCCCGUAAAAAAGGCUCCUACGUCUUCAUACACGCAUGUUUUGUAGAAUGUAAAAAUCCAUAUCUUCGCUCUAAAACGGCGUUGAUAAACUUAUACAACUUUCAACAACGGAUCUCUUGGCUCUC
This 263-nucleotide unclassified non-coding RNA is filed under the name Piloderma sp. Its description in RNAcentral is "partial contains small subunit ribosomal RNA, internal transcribed spacer 1, and 5.8S ribosomal RNA". The stretch from base 1 to 46 matches the Rfam family "Eukaryotic small subunit ribosomal RNA", at positions 1786 to 1831 of the family's 1831-position model. The record is from RNAcentral. Lineage: Eukaryota; Fungi; Basidiomycota; Agaricomycetes; Atheliales; Atheliaceae.